RNAcentral lists this ribosomal RNA (775 nucleotides) under uncultured bacterium. Its description in RNAcentral is "bacterial SSU rRNA". It matches the Rfam family "Bacterial small subunit ribosomal RNA", at positions 61 to 869 of the family's 1533-position model. The record is from RNAcentral.
GUCGAACGAGAAAGGGGAGCAAUCCCUGAGUACAGUGGCGACCGGGUGAGUAACACGUGACUACCUACCCUUGAGUGGGGGAUAACCUCGGGAAACCGAGGCUAAUACCGCAUAAUAUCGAGAGAUCAAAGGAGCAAUCCGCUCUUGGAGGGGGUCGCGGCUGAUUAGCUAGUUGGUGAGGUAAUGGCUCACCAAGGCGAAGAUCGGUAUCCGGCCUGAGAGGGCGCACGGACACACUGGAACUGAAACACGGCCCAGACUCCUACGGGAGGCAGCAGUGGGGAAUUUUGCGCAAUGGGGAAACCCUGACGCAGCAACGCCGCGUGGAGGAUGAAGUCCCUUGGGACGUAAACUCCUUUCGAUCGGGACGAUUAUGACGGUACCGGAAGAAGAAGCCCCGGCUAACUUCGUGCCAGCAGCCGCGGUAAUACGAGGGGGGCAAGCGUUGUUCGGAAUUAUUGGGCGUAAAGGGCGCGUAGGCGGUUGGAUAAGUCUUGUGUGAAAUCUUCGGGCUCAACUCGAAGUCUGCACGAGAAACUAUCUGGCUUGAGUGUGGGAGAGGUGAGUGGAAUUCCUGGUGUAGCGGUGAAAUGCGUAGAUAUCAGGAGGAACACCUGUGGCGAAAGCGGCUCACUGGACCACAACUGACGCUGAGGCGCGAAAGCUAGGGGAGCAAACAGGAUUAGAUACCCUGGUAGUCCUAGCCCUAAACGAUGAUCGCUUGGUGUGACGGGUACCCAAUCCCGCCGUGCCGAAGCUAACGCGUUAAGCGAUC